CAGAACUGAGUAGCUUUAAUCAGAACAUGUCUGCUGUUGCUACUUAAAAAAUGACUUGAACAGUUAAUGUGUUUAAACUGCGUCUGUGCCGCCGCCAUCUUGGGACAGACAACUGAUCUUAAAGACUCAGAAAAAGAUUGUUGUACUGCUUUUGGAUGUUCAUGUGAAAGAAAUGCUAAACUAAGCAACAUGGAAUAACAUUUCACAGAUGAAAAAUGUGUUUUACAAUAUUAUACUAUUACUAAAGUGUUGAAUUUAAUAUCACAAAAGGUAACAUUAAUCCUUCUUUUAAGCUAACAGUAAGUGACUGUCCUGAUACUGAAUUGCUAAUGCUAGCUUGUGUCAGGUUAUGUAUGUUUUAUUUAAGUGAUUAUUAAUAUCUCAGUAAGAUGCUGAAAACGAUGUUUGUUAUGUGUGUCACUGAACAGUUCCUCACAUCAUUCCCCAUAGACCCCCAUGUGAAAAAAUCCAAACUUUACAUCAGAAAUAAACAUGUUUACAGCCUGGUACAAAAUAACGGUUUUGGUCUAUUAAGAUAAUUUCACACUUUAUAACAACUGUUUAUAUAACUCACCUGUUUAAAUUGUAUCAAGGCUUAAAUCAGCAGACUGUCACUAGCUUCAAAAUAUUUAGAAAAAGGUUGGUAAGAAUACCUGCAUUUUUUAUUUAAUCAAGUGUCCUGUACUAUAAAUACAUGUCUGGCAUUUGUAGUAAACCGCUUGAAAAUCUGUUGGAAAUUCAGGGAGAAAUUAUGAUUUUAAUUGUGGAUAGACCUUCUGCCUCCAUAGACAAACAUGCAUUAGGAGGAGCACAAUGUUCGUUAGGAAAUGGCCAAUGUGGUGU
Long non-coding RNA from Sander lucioperca (pikeperch), 843 nucleotides. RefSeq lists it as uncharacterized. The transcript is spliced from 3 exons. The record is from RefSeq and is a predicted model, not a curated record. Lineage: Eukaryota; Metazoa; Chordata; Actinopteri; Perciformes; Percidae.